AUUGAACGCUGGCGGUAUGCUUAAGACAUGCAAGUCGAACGGUAACAGACCUUCGGGUGCUGACGAGUGGCGGACGGGUGAGUAACACGUGGGAAUCUACCUUGUAGUGGGGGAUAAGCCAGGGAAACUUGGACUAAUACCGCAUACGCCCUAAGGGGGAAAGGAGCAAUUCGCUAUAAGAUGAGCCCGCGUCUGAUUAGCUAGUUGGUGAGGUAAAGGCUCACCAAGGCGACGAUCAGUAGCUGGUCUGAGAGGAUGACCAGCCACAUUGGGACUGAGACACGGCCCAGACUCCUACGGGAGGCAGCAGUCGGGAAUAUUGGACAAUGGGGGCAACCCUGAUCCAGCAAUACCGCGUGUGUGAAGAAGGCCUGCGGGUUGUAAAGCACUUUUAGUAGGGAAGAUAAUGACGUUACCUACAGAAAAAGCACCGGCUAACUCCGUGC
RNAcentral lists this ribosomal RNA (446 nucleotides) under uncultured Thiothrix sp. RNAcentral describes it as "bacterial SSU rRNA". It matches the Rfam family "Bacterial small subunit ribosomal RNA", at positions 30 to 508 of the family's 1533-position model. The record is from RNAcentral. Lineage: Bacteria; Pseudomonadati; Pseudomonadota; Gammaproteobacteria; Thiotrichales; Thiotrichaceae.